UUAAGCGACCAAGCGUACACGGUGGAUGCCCUGGCAGUCAGAGGCGAUGAAGGGCGUGCUAAUCUGCGAUAAGCGCCGGUAAGGUGAUAUGAACCGUUAUAACCGGCGAUACCCGAAUGGGGAAACCCAGUGUGUUUCGACACACUAUCAUUAACUGAAUCCAUAGGUUAAUGAGGCGAACCGGGGGAACUGAAACAUCUAAGUACCCCGAGGAAAAGAAAUCAACCGAGAUUCCCCCAGUAGCGGCGAGCGAACGGGGAGGAGCCCAGAGCCUGAAUCAGCAUGUGUGUUAGUGGAAGCGUCUGGAAAGGCGCGCGAUACAGGGUGACAGCCCCGUACACAAAAGCGCACGUGCUGUGAGCUCGAUGAGUAGGGCGGGACACGUGGUAUCCUGUCUGAAUAUGGGGGGACCAUCCUCCAAGGCUAAAUACUCCUGACUGACCGAUAGUGAACCAGUACCGUGAGGGAAAGGCGAAAAGAACCCCGGCGAGGGGAGUGAAACAGAACCUGAAACCGUGUACGUACAAGCAGUGGGAGCCCCACCACUAAGCCAGUGGUGAGAACCCAUGACGCAUCCUUUGCUGAGGAUACGGUUAACGGAGCGAAAGCGACGUUCAACCGCAAAAGAAGCAGAGGGGGCUUAGUGGUGGGGUGACUGCGUACCUUUUGUAUAAUGGGUCAGCGACUUAUAUUCUGUAGCAAGGUUAACCGCAUAGGGGAGCCGGAGGGAAACCGAGUCUUAACCGGGCGUUAAGUUGCAGGGUAUAGACCCGAAACCCGGUGAUCUAGCCAUGGGCAGGUUGAAGGUUGGGUAACACUAACUGGAGGACCGAACCGACUAAUGUUGAAAAAUUAGCGGAUGACCUGUGGCUGGGGGUGAAAGGCCAAUCAAACCGGGAGAUAGCUGGUUCUCCCCGAAAGCUAUUUAGGUAGCGCCUCGUGAAUUCAUCUCCGGGGGUAGAGCACUGUUUCGGCUAGGGGGCCAUCCCGGCUUACCAACCCGAUGCAAACUGCGAAUACCGGAGAAUGUUAUCACGGGAGACACACGGCGGGUGCUAACGUCCGUCGUGAAGAGGGAAACAACCCAGACCGCCAGCUAAGGUCCCAAAGUCAUGGUUAAGUGGGAAACGAUGUGGGAAGGCCCAGACAGCCAGGAUGUUGGCUUAGAAGCAGCCAUCAUUUAAAGAAAGCGUAAUAGCUCACUGGUCGAGUCGGCCUGCGCGGAAGAUGUAACGGGGCUAAACCAUGCACCGAAGCUGCGGCAGCGACACUUAAGUGUUGUUGGGUAGGGGAGCGUUCUGUAAGCCUGUGAAGGUGGCCUGUGAGGGUUGCUGGAGGUAUCAGAAGUGCGAAUGCUGACAUAAGUAACGAUAAAGCGGGUGAAAAGCCCGCUCGCCGGAAGACCAAGGGUUCCUGUCCAACGUUAAUCGGGGCAGGGUGAGUCGACCCCUAAGGCGAGGCCGAAAGGCGUAGUCGAUGGGAAACGGGUUAAUAUUCCCGUACUUGGUGUUACUGCGAAGGGGGGACGGAGAAGGCUAUGUUGGCCGGGCGACGGUUGUCCCGGUUUAAGCGUGUAGGCUGGUUUUCCAGGCAAAUCCGGAAAAUCAAGGCUGAGGCGUGACGACGAGGCACCACGGUGCUGAAGCAACAAAUGCCCUGCUUCCAGGAAAAGCCUCUAAGCAUCAGGUAACACGAAAUCGUACCCCAAACCGACACAGGUGGUCAGGUAGAGAAUACCAAGGCGCUUGAGAGAACUCGGGUGAAGGAACUAGGCAAAAUGGUGCCGUAACUUCGGGAGAAGGCACGCUGACACGUAGGUGAAGUGAUUUACUCAUGGAGCUGAAGUCAGUCGAAGAUACCAGCUGGCUGCAACUGUUUAUUAAAAACACAGCACUGUGCAAACACGAAAGUGGACGUAUACGGUGUGACGCCUGCCCGGUGCCGGAAGGUUAAUUGAUGGGGUUAUCCUCGCGGAGAAGCUCCUGAUCGAAGCCCCGGUAAACGGCGGCCGUAACUAUAACGGUCCUAAGGUAGCGAAAUUCCUUGUCGGGUAAGUUCCGACCUGCACGAAUGGCGUAAUGAUGGCCAGGCUGUCUCCACCCGAGACUCAGUGAAAUUGAACUCGCUGUGAAGAUGCAGUGUACCCGCGGCAAGACGGAAAGACCCCGUGAACCUUUACUAUAGCUUGACACUGAACAUUGAGCCUUGAUGUGUAGGAUAGGUGGGAGGCUUUGAAGCGUGGACGCCAGUCUGCGUGGAGCCAACCUUGAAAUACCACCCUUUAAUGUUUGAUGUUCUAACGUGGACCCGUUACCCGGGUUGCGGACAGUGUCUGGUGGGUAGUUUGACUGGGGCGGUCUCCUCCCAAAGAGUAACGGAGGAGCACGAAGGUUGGCUAAUCCUGGUCGGACAUCAGGAGGUUAGUGCAAUGGCAUAAGCCAGCUUGACUGCGAGCGUGACGGCGCGAGCAGGUGCGAAAGCAGGUCAUAGUGAUCCGGUGGUUCUGAAUGGAAGGGCCAUCGCUCAACGGAUAAAAGGUACUCCGGGGAUAACAGGCUGAUACCGCCCAAGAGUUCAUAUCGACGGCGGUGUUUGGCACCUCGAUGUCGGCUCAUCACAUCCUGGGGCUGAAGUAGGUCCCAAGGGUAUGGCUGUUCGCCAUUUAAAGUGGUACGCGAGCUGGGUUUAGAACGUCGUGAGACAGUUCGGUCCCUAUCUGCCGUGGGCGCUGGAGAACUGAGGGGGGCUGCUCCUAGUACGAGAGGACCGGAGUGGACGCAUCACUGGUGUUCGGGUUGUCAUGCCAAUGGCACUGCCCGGUAGCUAAAUGCGGAAGAGAUAAGUGCUGAAAGCAUCUAAGCACGAAACUUGCCCCGAGAUGAGUUCUCCCUGAGACUUAAAGUCUCCUGAAGGAACGUUGAAGACGACGACGUUGAUAGGCCGGGUGUGUAAGCGCAGCGAUGUGUUGAGCUAACCGGUACUAAUGAACCGUGAGGCUUAACCUU
Molecule: ribosomal RNA, 3005 nt
Filed under: Salmonella enterica subsp. indica
Lineage: Bacteria; Pseudomonadati; Pseudomonadota; Gammaproteobacteria; Enterobacterales; Enterobacteriaceae
Description: bacterial LSU rRNA
Rfam family: Bacterial large subunit ribosomal RNA
Source: RNAcentral